UUAGCGGCGGACGGGUGAGUAACACGUGGAUAACCUACCUAUAAGACUGGGAUAACUUCGGGAAACCGGAGCUAAUACCGGAUAAUAUUUUGAACCGCAUGGUUCAAAAGUGAAAGACGGUCUUGCUGUCACUUAUAGAUGGAUCCGCGCUGCAUUAGCUAGUUGGUAAGGUAACGGCUUACCAAGGCAACGAUGCAUAGCCGACCUGAGAGGGUGAUCGGCCACACUGGAACUGAGACACGGUCCAGACUCCUACGGGAGGCAGCAGUAGGGAAUCUUCCGCAAUGGGCGAAAGCCUGACGGAGCAACGCCGCGUGAGUGAUGAAGGUCUUCGGAUCGUAAAACUCUGUUAUUAGGGAAGAACAUAUGUGUAAGUAACUGUGCACAUCUUGACGGUACCUAAUCAGAAAGCCACGGCUAACUACGUGCCAGCAGCCGCGGUAAUACGUAGGUGGCAAGCGUUAUCCGGAAUUAUUGGGCGUAAAGCGCGCGUAGGCGGUUUUUUAAGUCUGAUGUGAAAGCCCACGGCUCAACCGUGGAGGGUCAUUGGAAACUGGAAAACUUGAGUGCAGAAGAGGAAAGUGGAAUUCCAUGUGUAGCGGUGAAAUGCGCAGAGAUAUGGAGGAACACCAGUGGCGAAGGCGACUUUCUGGUCUGUAACUGACGCUGAUGUGCGAAAGCGUGGGGAUCAAACAGGAUUAGAUACCCUGGUAGUCCACGCCGUAAACGAUGAGUGCUAAGUGUUAGGGGGUUUCCGCCCCUUAGUGCUGCAGCUAACGCAUUAAGCACUCCGCCUGGGGAGUACGACCGCAAGGUUGAAACUCAAAGGAAUUGACGGGGACCCGCACAAGCGGUGGAGCAUGUGGUUUAAUUCGAAGCAACGCGAAGAACCUUACCAAAUCUUGACAUCCUUUGACAACUCUAGAGAUAGAGCCUUCCCCUUCGGGGGACAAAGUGACAGGUGGUGCAUGGUUGUCGUCAGCUCGUGUCGUGAGAUGUUGGGUUAAGUCCCGCAACGAGCGCAACCCUUAAGCUUAGUUGCCAUCAUUAAGUUGGGCACUCUAAGUUGACUGCCGGUGACAAACCGGAGGAAGGUGGGGAUGACGUCAAAUCAUCAUGCCCCUUAUGAUUUGGGCUACACACGUGCUACAAUGGACAAUACAAAGGGCAGCGAAACCGCGAGGUCAAGCAAAUCCCAUAAAGUUGUUCUCAGUUCGGAUUGUAGUCUGC
RNAcentral lists this ribosomal RNA (1230 nucleotides) under Staphylococcus aureus. Its description in RNAcentral is "bacterial SSU rRNA". It matches the Rfam family "Bacterial small subunit ribosomal RNA", at positions 92 to 1308 of the family's 1533-position model. Lineage: Bacteria; Bacillati; Bacillota; Bacilli; Caryophanales; Staphylococcaceae. The record is from RNAcentral.